UCAGAUGAUUUAGAAAAUUCUGCUCUCAUUUGUAAAGUAUGUUUAGAUAAACAGGUUUCUAUCCUCCUGCUCCCAUGCAGGCAUCUGGUCAGCUGUGGAGAGUGUACAGUUUCCCUCCAGAACUGCCCAGUGUGCAGAGGAAGAAUUCAGCAUACUGUCAAAGCCUUCUUGAUCUAGCUGACAAUGGACAAGGGUCAAUUUAAAUGCGAACUGGACCGACCCCUUGUACUGGUCAUAAUGACGCGCCGAAAUGACUGUCUGAGUAACUUAAAAAACGUACUUCAAUAAAAGACUAAAAAAACCUC
Molecule: long non-coding RNA, 305 nt
Organism: Eurytemora carolleeae
Lineage: Eukaryota; Metazoa; Arthropoda; Copepoda; Calanoida; Temoridae
Exons: 3
Source: RefSeq, a predicted model, not a curated record